UUGACACAAAACAGUGCUUAGAAAUGGCCACUGAGAUGAACAAGAAGCUGGAGAAGCAGCUGGCCAAGCUGAGGAGGCACCAAGAGAAGCAAAGCCUGGCUGAGGAAAUAGAGAACAGCAGAGAGAACCAGAGCCUGGCUGAGCUGGGACUGGACAGCUCUCAGAAGCGCAGCGUGGAUGAGGAUAGAGAGAGCGGCACAGAGAACCACAGCCAGGCUGAGGUUGGACUGAAUGGCUCUGAGAACUACAGCCUGGCUGUGGGUAGAGACAACGGCUUUGUGAAUCAGAGAGUGGCUGAGCUGGGCCUGGAUGUCCCUCAAAAGCAGACCCUGCCUGAGAAUGGAAAGCAGAACACACAGAACCACAGCCUGGCUGGGGUUGGACUGAAUGGGUCUCAGAACCACAGCCUGGCUCAGGGUAGAGAGAAAGGCUUUGUGAAUCACAGCGUGGCUGAGCUGUGCCUGGACAUCUCUCAGAAGCAGACCCUGCCUGAGCACGGAGAGCAUAACACACAGAACCACAGCCAGGCUGAGGUAAGAUGGGACCUCUGGAGAAUAUUUUGCCUUGCCCAGUGCCUCCCCCCUGUCCCCAUCAGACCUGGGCUGUGUCCAGCUCUGGGCCUGGGGUCCCUCUGUCCCUGCAGGGUGGGAGCGAGAGGGGAGGCGAGGGCAAGGGCCACGGCCCAAGGGGACAGUGCGGAGGGGAGCGCAGCCACGGGACUGUUGCUGUGUGCAGACGGCUGCUUCUCUUCCCCCUGUCCCACAGGAGCUCUUGCAGGUGCAACAAAGCGAGGCAGCUGCAAGGCUGGAAGAGGAGCAGAAGGUAGAGGGGCCCCCACUGAGAGGGUCAGGGAGGGGGUGUCAGUGCUGGGUCCCCGCACCCCGGCAGCGGCACGGCUGGGGAGGACGUGGGCUUUGGGACGGGGCAUCUGCCACAGAGGGACCGGGCCACUGCCCCUCCCAGAGCCCAGGGCCUCACCUCUGGCAGGCUGCCCUGCCUCAGGGAAAGGCAAAGGGAGGCACAGCAGUGUGGGCCCUGGGCCCCCUGCCUGCCUCCUGCCAAGCCCUGGGCACGCAGCGGGUGCAGGCAAGGGGCCGUAUCCAGCGCUGGGCCUGUGCCAGCCCCUGCCUGCCAGCGCAGGCCUGCCUGGGGAGAAGGGCCCAUGGAGGUCACAGCCCUGCAAGGGCCGCACUCCUGCCACGCUGCAGUGCAUGACACGUGGCCUCCCUCUCUCUUGAGCUGCAGGACAAGGAUGUGUUGGCGAGGGAGCAGCAGGCAGACACACAGAACCACACAUACUGGAAACUCUUCCUGUUCUUCUUCUGCCUGAUGGUCUUCCUGAGCUUCGCUGUGCCUUUCGUGCUGCUCUACAGCUUCUCCUAUGAG
Molecule: RNA transcript, 1386 nt
Organism: Colius striatus (speckled mousebird)
Lineage: Eukaryota; Metazoa; Chordata; Aves; Coliiformes; Coliidae
Exons: 2
Source: RefSeq, a predicted model, not a curated record